AGUUUCAGAAUUCAUAGCCGAACUGCAAAAUCAAAAUCAAAUAAAACCACAAAAGGAUAAAGCUUUCAUUGAAACAAAAAUAAAUCCCAAUCAUAAUUAGAGCUCAAAAACGAUACAAAGGAAUCAAUUUUACAAAUUGCGGAUCAAAAGUAACCAACUUUACCAAAACCCAAUCAACAAAAAUCAUUUUUUAUUUCAAUUAGAAGCAAAAGCCAAAAAUCAAAAGAAUCGGAGAAAAAUUACCAAACGAUGCCAUAAGCACCCUUG
Molecule: long non-coding RNA, 267 nt
Organism: Arabidopsis thaliana (thale cress)
Lineage: Eukaryota; Viridiplantae; Streptophyta; Magnoliopsida; Brassicales; Brassicaceae
Product: other RNA
Exons: 1
Source: RefSeq